AACAUGUCUUCUUGAAAUAUAUAGGAAGUCUGACCUGCCCAGUGAUUUAAUUUAACGGCCGCGGUAUAUUGACCGUGCAAAGGUAGCAUAAUCAUUAGUCUUUUAAUAGGGGACUGGUAUGAAUGGUUCGACGAAAUAUUAACUGUCUCAGAUUAAUAUAUUAUAAUUUGAUUUUUGAGUCAAAAAGCUUAAAUUUUAUUGAAGGACGAGAAGACCCUAUAGAGCUUUAUAAUUGAUGUUAAUAAUUAUUUUAAUUUAUUUUUUAUUUUUUUACAUUAAUUUUUUUGUUGGGGUGACAACAAAUAUAAGAAUAACUUUUUUAUUUAUAUUACAUUUAUACAUGGUUAUUAGAUCCAUUAUUAUUGAUUAUUAGAUUAAGUUACCUUAGGGAUAACAGCGUAAUCUUCCUUCAGAGUUCAUAUUUACAGGGAGGGUUGCGACCUCGAUGUUGGAUUAAGAUUAUAAUUAGGUGUAGCAGCUUAAUCUAUAGGUCUGUUCGACCUUUAAAUUCUUACAUG
RNAcentral lists this ribosomal RNA (518 nucleotides) under Hetaerina pilula. Its description in RNAcentral is "partial 16S ribosomal RNA". It matches the Rfam family "Bacterial large subunit ribosomal RNA", at positions 1812 to 2602 of the family's 2925-position model. The record is from RNAcentral. Lineage: Eukaryota; Metazoa; Arthropoda; Insecta; Odonata; Calopterygidae.